GACGAACGCUGGCGGCGUGCCUAAUACAUGCAAGUCGAGCGAGCGGAACCAACAGAUUUACUUCGGUAAUGACGUUGGGAAAGCGAGCGGCGGAUGGGUGAGUAACACGUGGGGAACCUGCCCCUAAGUCUGGGAUACCAUUUGGAAACAGGUGCUAAUACCGGAUAAUAAAGACAGACCGCAUGAUCAGCUUUGUAAAGGCGGCGUAAGCUGUCGCUAAGGGAUGGCCCGCGGUGCAUUAGCUAGUUGGUAAGGUAACGGCUUACCAAGGCGACGAUGCAUAGCCGAGUUGCGAGACUGAUCGGCCACAUUGGGACUGAGACACGGCCCAG
Molecule: ribosomal RNA, 332 nt
Filed under: uncultured bacterium
Lineage: Bacteria
Description: bacterial SSU rRNA
Rfam family: Bacterial small subunit ribosomal RNA
Source: RNAcentral